GGAUGAGAUCGCCAAGUACAAGGUCGGCGCGCCCGCCCGCGUGGGUGCCGUCGCCCCCGAGGACGUGGUGAUCAAGGCCGGCGGUACCGGCAUGGACCCCUCCCAGACCUCGUUCUUCCAGGCCCUCGGCAUUGCCACCAAGAUUAACAAGGGUACCAUUGAGAUCGUGUCCGACGUCGUGGUCGUCAAGGCCGGCGAGCGCGUGGGCCCCUCUCAGGCCACCCUGCUGGCCAAGCUGGGCGUCAAGCCCUUCAAGUACGGCCUGCUGAUCCUGAAGGUGAUCGAGUCGGGCGCCGUCUACGACCCCAAGGUGAUGGACAUCACCGACGAGGACAUGAUGGCCUCCGUCAUCGCCGGUAUCCGCGAGGUGGCCGCGCUGUCGCUGGGCGCCCAGUACCCCACCCUGGCCGCCGCCCCCCACGUCAUCAUCGACGGCUACAAGAACGUGCUGGCCAUCGCCGUGGAGACCGACUACACCUUCCCCCUGGCCCAGAAGGUGCGCGUGCGCUUCUAUUUGUGUGAUGGGAUGCAAAGAUUGGGGCCUGGCUGCGUUCGCUCAUGGCCGGGCCGGAGCACAAUGGCGCCACAAGCCAGCCUUUCGCUGCGUCUCCCCGCGACGUUGUCUUGACUACGUUGCUGCUGUGCGGCUGCCUCACCCACCUCGUCGCCCGCUUUCCCCGCACCUGCAGGUCAAGGACUACCUGGCCGACCCCUCCAAGUUCGCCUCCGCUGCCCCCGCGGCCGCCGCCGGUGGCGCCCCCGCCGCCAAGAAGGAGGAGCCCAAGAAGGAGGAGCCCUCCGAGGAGGAGGACAUGGGCUUCUCCCUGUUCGACUAAGCGU
This 840-nucleotide long non-coding RNA is filed under the name Chlamydomonas reinhardtii. RNAcentral describes it as "long non-coding RNA (CREI_LNC001003)". The record is from RNAcentral. Lineage: Eukaryota; Viridiplantae; Chlorophyta; Chlorophyceae; Chlamydomonadales; Chlamydomonadaceae.